GUUGGUCUAACACGCUGAAAAACUCUUAUGCUUUAAAGAUGGUAAGUUCGUUACAAUCGCCCGCCUUCUUACAUGCAAACGCAUGGGACUCACAGGAAUUAUUCACGAAGUGGUUCACAUAACAUUUUGCUAAUGGUGUGUACAAUCUUCUACACUCAGAACGACUUGCCAUCCAAAGAUAUUCUCUCGUCAGAUAACGCUCCUGGCCACUCUCCAAAUCUUGAUGAAGAUCAAAGUAAGCUUAACGCAAAUUUAGAUUACAAACUUCCAAGCACAACAUCUAGUUUACAUCUGAUGGACCAGGAUAUAGUAGUAGCGUUGAUGACGCACUACCGGCAGGAAUCGUUUAAGAAAGUGGCGGACGUGUGAGGCACAAACGAUGAUAAAGACUGUAGACUGUUUGAGAUUAUUGUCUCUCUUUUAAUAUUUUAAAUGUUACAAAUUCAUUGAUAUUGAGUGGAUGAAGGCAGUUUUGAGCGUAGUCACGCAAAUUAAGGAACAACAUUGAAGGAUUUGGACCGGUGGAUGAGUGCGCUACAUUCAUAUAGGGAAUUUCAAACUUUGCAAGAGAUCAUGAAUUUGAGAAGAUGAUCGAAAAUUAGAUUUGAGAAUAAAUUGCUGACAGAAAAGAAGAUUAAUGAAUAAGAAUACCAUCCACUUGAAAAAUUCAGGUUUUGCGGAAUUACUGAGCAUAGAGAAUCAAAACAACGUGCAGGUAAUGAAAAGUGACAUUUAUAUGAUUAUCCUGUAAUUUUAAGUCUUCGUGGAGUUUUCUGAAAUGAAUCGUGAAAGGAAAAAAAAAACUUUGUACAGACGAACUUCAAUGAAAUUUUAGCGCAUUAUUACGGGAUAUUUAAAGAAGAAUAAAAAAAAAACCAUGACAAAACAACUCGGGAUUUUUACUCUAGGAAGGUUCCUGUGACUCGAAAUGUCCUGUCAUCGGUGAUGAACCUCACCAAAGGUCAUAAUCACAGAGUUGAUAUUGUGUCAUCUGCCCCAGGUGGAAAGACAUCAAUAUAAUGACGCAUAAAACAUAUCUCAUGGAUUUCAACUUUGAAUCAUUUUGAAUAGUAGCGGAAUAUACUGACUCAGUACAUACCCUAUCGAUUAUCUAAAGACGAAAUGUAAAUUCGAGCCGGUUAAGAUCUGAACUCAGAGAGUAAACGGACAUUAACUAAUACCGCAAGGGUCGGCGUUUCAUUUCGUCUCUACUCGGAAUUUCUCAACACGUGACACAACUCUGGCAAUGGAAAAGAAAAGAAAUACUGUCGCCUGAUGAGUCUCGCACGUGACGAGAAACUGCAUAGCGGAACGGCGAAGUGAAUCAUCAACUACAAAGAAACAUUUAUACAAACAUUUAUAAAUAUAUAUCUCUAUUUAUAUAUGUAUCUAUAUACCUAGAUAUAUACAUAUACAUGUAUUCUGUAUCUGUCUGUCUACUUCUCACUAUCUCUCUCCCUCCCCCUCUCCCCUCUCUCUCUCUCUCUCUC
Molecule: long non-coding RNA, 1490 nt
Organism: Octopus bimaculoides (California two-spot octopus)
Lineage: Eukaryota; Metazoa; Mollusca; Cephalopoda; Octopoda; Octopodidae
Source: RefSeq, a predicted model, not a curated record